GACGAACGCUGGCGGCGUGCCUAAUACAUGCAAGUCGAACGCACUCUCGUUUAGAUUGAAGGAGCUUGCUCCUGAUUGAUAAACAUUUGAGUGAGUGGCGGACGGGUGAGUAACACGUGGGUAACCUGCCCUAAAGUGGGGGAUAACAUUUGGAAACAGAUGCUAAUACCGCAUAAAACCUAACACCGCAUGGUGUAGGGUUGAAAGAUGGUUUCGGCUAUCACUUUAGGAUGGACCCGCGGUGCAUUAGUUAGUUGGUGAGGUAAAGGCUCACCAAGACCGUGAUGCAUAGCCGACCUGAGAGGGUAAUCGGCCACACUGGGACUGAGACACGGCCCAGACUCCUACGGGAGGCAGCAGUAGGGAAUCUUCCACAAUGGACGAAAGUCUGAUGGAGCAACGCCGCGUGAGUGAAGAAGGUUUUCGGAUCGUAAA
This 435-nucleotide ribosomal RNA is filed under the name uncultured bacterium. RNAcentral's name for it is "bacterial SSU rRNA". It matches the Rfam family "Bacterial small subunit ribosomal RNA", at positions 28 to 429 of the family's 1533-position model. The record is from RNAcentral.